GCCGGGCUGGCACGCUCCUGCUCCCGGCAGCGCGCGGGGCUCGGUGCAGGACGCGCGCCGGGGAUGCUUGCACGAGGGAUGCUCGCGCCGGGGGCACCGGCGGCUCCGCUGCGGGCGCCUCUGACAAAGGCCCACGAGCCCUGGGCUGUUGCGCCACCGCCACGCGCCCGUCUGCGCUGGCCCCGCCGGCUGUUGCCCCACGUCCGGCUCGGCAUGACGCGGCCGGGACCACGCUGCAUGCCGGCAAAGAGCUGUGAGCGCGCUUGCCCCGUGCCGGCAGCGAGUCCCCAUCCUUCGCCGGGGCUCCUCUGCGCGCCCGGCCAUCCUGCGGCAUCGCCGGCUCCUCAGCCCGGCUGCAAGUCAGUGCUGGCUUCAAGCCCGGCGGCCUCGCCGGCUCCUCCGCCUCYGCAAAGCGCUAGCACCUUCUUCACGCGUGGUUUUCUUGUGCGCUGGGGGAGAAGCAGAGGAAGCCGGUGCGAGGCAGCUUGGCUGGGUGCUGCAMAGCAAAGGGCAAGAGGAGGCUGCUCCGCUCCUCCCACGCUUAAACCCGGCGAGGCCGAAGCAGGGCGAGAUUGCUCCUGGCUGAGCACGUGGCCCUGCAUCACUCCCAGCUGAGUGCGCGGCCCCGGCGAUGCUGACGUGGAUCAACAAACUUUGCUCCCAGCUCUCGUGCUGGUAGGAGAGGACCAGGGCGGCCGAAGCCUCGAGCAGCCCGACCGCGGCGCGGCGCCGGAGGGGGCCCCCAACUCCACCGCCGGGGAAGGGGGCGAGCCGGCGGCGUGGACGUCGGUCCCCGCGUGGGACGGUGCCACCAGCCCCUCCGCCCUGCCGCCGCGGGCCGCGGGGAACAGGAGCCGUGAGUACCCCAAUGCCGCCGGCGCGCCCCGAGCGGCCGCUCCGGGCCCCCUCGGCUCGGGGGUGUUUGCACCACCGACACCUCCCGUCUCUUCCAGAAAGCGCCUCGGCCGUUCCCGUGCGGUACUGGUCCCCCGUCAUCUUUGUGGCCGUUGCUCUGCUCGUGCUGUUCCUGACCUACAAGAGGACCAAGGGGGAAGAAAGCGGCAACCAAGUGGCCUCGGCCAGUGACUCCUCAGAUUUGGAAGAAGCAGCCGACGUCCCCGUCCACGACACGGCCCCAAUCGUCCCUCCUGCCGCGGUGAGUCCGGCCGACGGGGGGGCCGCAGCCGAAAUCCUGCCGCCUCCUCUGCCCCUGUGCGGUGGGGACGCGCGUCGGGGCUGYGCCGCGUCUCCUAAACUGCUGCCGUCCGCUGCAGGAGGAGCRGAAGGGGCCGGAGAAACCCCCACCCCGGGAUCCGACCGAAACCGUCUUCUGCGAGCCGGACGCCCCCCCGCUGCAGCCGUCCCAGGUAUUUCGACCCUCCUCGGCCGCGUCAGCCCCACGGCGUGGUUUUGGGCAAAAYGCGGGACCAAAGGGCUGUGCCGGGGGUGUCUGCACGCAGCGGUGCCCUGCGGCAUCCCGCUCCCCGUCGCGGGGCAGGGCUGACCUUGCUCCCCUCGCACCCGAGCAGCCCGUUGCCCCCGCGGCCACCAGCAGCCCCCAGCCCUGACCGAMGGCUCCCAGCACGGCCGAAGCCCCCGGAGAAAGCGGCAGCUCUGAAACGCCCCGCGGGGCGACGGGCUGCGUGACGAGGAUGCUCCCGGCCCCGCAGCCUCCUCGGCCCUUUGCAACCCCUGGCAGGAUACGACCCAGCGCGUGACACGGCCCUGCACGACGUGACCGCACGUGGCACGGCCGUGCGCGUGCAUUUACUACCGUGCACGCAAGGACGGGGGCCUGGGGCGCGCGUGACGUGCGCCGUCAAGCCAAUAAAGCAGCGUUUCACCCCA
This 1848-nucleotide long non-coding RNA is filed under the name Dromaius novaehollandiae (emu). RNAcentral describes it as "lncRNA (ENSDNVG00000012138.1)". Lineage: Eukaryota; Metazoa; Chordata; Aves; Casuariiformes; Dromaiidae. The record is from RNAcentral.